AUGGCUUGCCACCUCCGAUCUGCCAGCGUGCCUUCCAGCCCUCUCUCGGAUGGAACAGACGUCCAAGAUCGGCUGCGGAGCCUGAAGGCGGCCAUGUCUUUGCCCUCUGUGACAAUCCAGAUAGUGUGUGGUGCUCUGACAGAGCUCGUGAGCAUAUACAGCUGCAUUGACGAGCUCACGUGCUCGACCAGCAGCAGUCAGACUCAGCAGAGGAAAUCUCUGGAGGACGAGCUUGAGCGCUCUCUCAUGCUGCUAGACCUCUGCAGCUCCAUGCAGGAGAUCUUCGCGGAGCUCAGGACGAGUGUCCAGGAGGUGCAACUAUCCCUCAAGAGAGUGGAUGGCACGGCAGUCCACACCAAAGUUCAGUCUUACGCCCGCUUGUCCAGAAAGGCUCAGAGGCUGUGCAAAAGGAUCAGCAGCAUGGUUGCCUCUGACAUGGAGGGAUGCAGCGCCAUCAAGAUGACAGCUGAAGCGAGAGACAUUGCCAUCGUGAUACUCAAGUCGACGUUGCAUCUCUUUUUGAAGCAGAUUACAAUACCGAAAUUUUCUAGUAGCUGGUCUCUUGUAUCCAAGGCGUUCCAGAAGAAGAGAUUUGCGUGA
Molecule: ribosomal RNA, 600 nt
Filed under: Triticum aestivum (bread wheat)
Lineage: Eukaryota; Viridiplantae; Streptophyta; Magnoliopsida; Poales; Poaceae
Description: partial small subunit ribosomal RNA
Source: RNAcentral